Molecule: long non-coding RNA, 157 nt
Organism: Dioscorea cayenensis subsp. rotundata (Guinea yam)
Lineage: Eukaryota; Viridiplantae; Streptophyta; Magnoliopsida; Dioscoreales; Dioscoreaceae
Exons: 3
Source: RefSeq, a predicted model, not a curated record
AGAUUAUGAUGAGUUUCAUGAUGGAGAAAUUUGGAUCAAAUAUUCCUCCACCAACAAAGGAAGAUCUUGGAGGCAAGAAGAGAGCAACAAAAAAAACUCAAGGAAGACAAUGGCCAAGAAGAGGGAACAGAGAAAAUCAAAGUAAUGUUCAUGAUGA